ACAGAAUCGGAGUUACAGCUGGAUGUGGAAAAAAUAACUGAGUUGUUUGGUGGUGCUAUAACGCGGAGCUACAACAGUGGGCAGCUAUCCACCGGUGUAUGACAGAAAGGACAUGCCGCGACCGCCGAUCGACCGGUGUUUGCUAACGCGGAGGUCAAUCGUGGAUCAGGGAAAGCGAAGGCAGGAGCGUGAGGUGAACUGAAUUUCAGGUAAGAAGUUAUGAACUGCACUCUAUUUGGGUCAGAUAUAAACAGAG
This is a long non-coding RNA of Oreochromis aureus, 256 nucleotides long. The record is from Ensembl. Lineage: Eukaryota; Metazoa; Chordata; Actinopteri; Cichliformes; Cichlidae.